AACUAGCCCUGAUCGAGGCGGCAUCCUCGUAGUGAAACGAAGAGAUAUAGCCAAGAGCAGGAGGGAAC
Molecule: unclassified non-coding RNA, 68 nt
Filed under: Flavobacterium frigoris
Lineage: Bacteria; Pseudomonadati; Bacteroidota; Flavobacteriia; Flavobacteriales; Flavobacteriaceae
Description: Flavo-1 RNA
Source: RNAcentral